This 277-nucleotide ribosomal RNA is filed under the name uncultured bacterium. Its description in RNAcentral is "partial 16S ribosomal RNA". It matches the Rfam family "Bacterial small subunit ribosomal RNA", at positions 28 to 304 of the family's 1533-position model. The record is from RNAcentral.
GACGAACGCUGGCGGCGUGCUUAACACAUGCAAGUCGAACGGAAAGGCUCAGCUUGCUGGGUGCUCGAGUGGCGAACGGGUGAGUAACACGUGGGUGAUCUGCCCUGCACUUUGGGAUAAGCCUGGGAAACUGGGUCUAAUACCGAAUAUACCGUCCUGGCUGCAUGGUUGGGGUGGGAAAGCUUUUGCGGUGUGGGAUGGGCCCGCGGCCUAUCAGCUUGUUGGUGGGGUGAUGGCCUACCAAGGCUGCGACGGGUAGCCGGCCUGAGAGGGUGUC